UACAGAGGGUGCAAGCGUUAAUCGGAGUUACUGGGCGUAAAGGGCGCGUAGGCGGUCAUGCAAGUGAGAUGUGAAAUCCCCGGGCUUAACCUGGGAACUGCAUUUUAGACUGUGUGACUGGAGUACUGUAGAGGACAGUGGGAUUUCCGGUGUAGCGGUGAAAUGCGUAGAGAUCGGAAGGAACACCAGUGGCGAAGGCGACUGUCUGGCCAGAUACUGACGCUGAGGCGCGAAAGCGUGGGGAGCAAACAGG
Molecule: ribosomal RNA, 253 nt
Filed under: uncultured bacterium
Lineage: Bacteria
Description: partial 16S ribosomal RNA
Rfam family: Bacterial small subunit ribosomal RNA
Source: RNAcentral